Molecule: ribosomal RNA, 502 nt
Filed under: uncultured bacterium
Lineage: Bacteria
Description: partial 16S ribosomal RNA
Rfam family: Bacterial small subunit ribosomal RNA
Source: RNAcentral
GACGAACGCUGGCGGCGUGCCUAAUACAUGCAAGUCGAACGAACCGCGACUAGGUGCUUGCACUUGGUCAAGGUGAGUGGCGAACGGGUGAGUAACACGUGGGUAACCUACCUCAUAGUGGGGGAUAACAGUCGGAAACGACUGCUAAUACCGCAUAGGACAUAGGAUCACAUGAUUCUGUGAGGAAAGGUGGCGCAAGCUAUCGCUAAGAGAUGGACCCGCGGUGCAUUAGCUAGUUGGUAGGGUAAAGGCCUACCAAGGCGAUGAUGCAUAGCCGACCUGAGAGGGUGAUCGGCCACAUUGGGACUGAGAAACGGCCCAAACUCCUACGGGAGGCAGCAGUAGGGAAUCUUCCGCAAUGGAAGCAAGGCUGACGGAGCAACGCCGCGUGAGUGAAGAAGGUCUUCGGAUCGUAAAGCUCUGUUGUUAGAGAAGAACAGCGCAUAGAGUAACUGUUAUGCGUGUGACGGUAUCUAACCAGAAAGCCACGGCUAACUACGUG